AUAAUAUUUUGUUCUUACGGUUUAAUUGAUUUAUAAUCAAAUUUUAUCACUGUCUUUGUUUACUGAUAAUGACAAUUUCGUUUUAAGCAAUCCAGUAAGUAAAGAAAGUUUUAUAAUUACGGAACAUAUUACCCUCCUCAUUGAAAGCUGAGAAAGAACAAUUGUACUAAUGAAGAAACAUCGGGAUAUUAAUCUGCAUUUACAUCCCAAACUUAACCAUAAAUAUUAUUUUUAAACUAAUAAAACCCUAUUUUUAGUUUACAAUAUGUUUUAAUAACGGAUAUAUUUUCAUACAGAAAAUGUAUUUUUAGUAUAAAAGUUAACUAGGGCAUAUUAAUGUGAUUUAACUUGUCCUGUCUCGUUUACAGAGCUGUUCACGAUGCCGCGACGUCCGGGCAGACCGCCGCAGUUUCCGUGCGGUUUGUGCGGUAAGAGGUACAACCGCAAGGACAACCUACUACGCCAUCAGCGCUUGGAGUGUGGUAAAGCGCCGCAGUUCAAGUGCCCGCACUGCCAUCACCGUACGAAGAGGAGAGACAACAUUCUGAGUCACGUGGCCAUCAAACACCCAGAAAUGUUUUCGGGAUCUGAGUUUGACGGGAUCUGAGUUUGACGCAUCUUAACGCAGGGCGUUGCUGUAUAGCCGAGUCGGAAUUGUGAAUUUGACUGGUUUUAUCUAAUUAAAUACUUGUAAGAGAAUAAACUGCUCCGGUUUGAUUACUAGAGUGUAGCAGUUGAAUACGAUAUGUUCAUUUCCUGAUCCCGAACUUUCAGAUGGUCAACGUUCUUACCAGCUGGAGCUGGUUCUUUGAAGAAGAAAAGUAACGGAUGAUCUGCGAUUAAUUUAUUUUUUCAUAAAAGCCUACUCUGGAGCACAAAGGGUUUAAGGAUAUUUCAUACCAUAUUAAAGGAUUUCUCUCCUUGGUGAACGAUGUGGGAAAAGGACCUCUCCACUUCCUCUGCGGUGACUGCGGUCGGCACUAUAACCGCAAAGACAACCUACAGAGACACCAGAGGCUCGAGUGCGGCCAACAACCGCAGCUAGAGUGUCCGCACUGUCCGCAUCGCGUCAAGAGGAAGGACAAACUGAAGACUCACAUCGCUCUCAAACAUCCAGAGGAGUACCGGGGAAGUCUGAUCUGAAAUUGUGUUUUAGUCGUCCACAAAUUACAGUAAGGAUAGUGUAUCAAUAUAUUGAAGAGACAAUCUAAGGAUAUUAUUUGCCCACUCAAUUAAAAUUUGAAGAAUUUUAUUUUUAGUAAUUAGUUAUCUUACACUGUCGUUUCUUUUACAAAAUAAUUUAGUUCCUUUACAGCAACCAAAGUUAUCGAAACUAUCAUUAGAACAUUGAAGCACAGACAGUAUUUUAAUCAGCAGCGAAUCUUUGAAAAUCAAUUCAAUUUCUGCAUUGUGGUUUUAGUAAGAUGGAAAUAUUUAUGUGAACAAAUAAAAUAACAAUAUAAUUGGCUAAGAAAAAUUGUCUUCUUAGUGCUAAAAUAGACGAUACCAUAUAUCAUAAUGAAACCUAUUUCAUUUGUAUUGUACAAAUAUUACACCGUCGCGUCUCCAACAAUUCUACAUUCCAUGACUUGUACAAAUGCUGAUUUCAUGCCUUGUUCACUAUCUUCCAUCUAUAUAUAAUAUAUACAGUAACACGUAAUAAACUGGGGCUGUUCGAUUAGAGAUAUUUAUUAGUCAAUAAAUGUUAUUUUUACGUUUUUCA
Molecule: long non-coding RNA, 1723 nt
Filed under: Homalodisca vitripennis (glassy-winged sharpshooter)
Lineage: Eukaryota; Metazoa; Arthropoda; Insecta; Hemiptera; Cicadellidae
Description: uncharacterized LOC124356124
Source: RNAcentral